RNAcentral lists this ribosomal RNA (351 nucleotides) under uncultured Bacteroidota bacterium. Its description in RNAcentral is "bacterial SSU rRNA". It matches the Rfam family "Bacterial small subunit ribosomal RNA", at positions 49 to 390 of the family's 1533-position model. The record is from RNAcentral. Lineage: Bacteria; Pseudomonadati; Bacteroidota.
UAACACAUGCAAGUCGGGGGAGAAGGUACCCUUGGGGGUAGUGGAGACCGGCGGAUGGGUGAGUAACGCGUAGGUAAUCUGCCGUUAGGACGGGGAUAACAUGCCGAAAGGCAUGCUAAUACCGGAUGAUGCAGCGGGGCCGCAUGGCCACAGUUGUUAAAUCCUUCGGGAGCCUAAAGAUGAGCCUGCGUGCCAUUAGCUAGUUGGUAGGGUCAAAGCCUACCAAGGCGAUGAUGGCUAGGGGGUCUGAGAGGAUGAUCCCCCACACUGGGACUGAGACACGGCCCAGACUCCUACGGGAGGCAGCAGUGAGGAAUCUUGCGCAAUGGUCGCCCGCCGCGCCCCGCGCCC